AUACCUUUCUCGGCCUUUUGGCUAAGAUCAAGUGUAGUAAUAAGACUAUUGUUUUUGUUUAUAUGGUUGAAUCUUC
RNAcentral lists this small nuclear RNA (76 nucleotides) under Theobroma cacao (cacao). RNAcentral describes it as "U2 spliceosomal RNA". Lineage: Eukaryota; Viridiplantae; Streptophyta; Magnoliopsida; Malvales; Malvaceae. The record is from Rfam by way of RNAcentral.